AUACGGAGGGUGCGAGCGUUAAUCGGAAUUACUGGGCGUAAAGCGCGCGUAGGCGGUUUGGUCAGUCGGAUGUGAAAGCCCUAGGCUCAACCUGGGAAUGGCAUUCGAUACUGCCUGACUAGAGUAUGGUAGAGGGAAGUGGAAUUUCCGGUGUAGCGGUGAAAUGCGUAGAUAUCGGAAGGAACACCAGUGGCGAAGGCGACUUCCUGGGCCAAUUCUGACGCUGAGGUGCGAAAGCGUGGGGAGCAAACAGGAUUAGAAACCCCAGUAGUCC
RNAcentral lists this ribosomal RNA (274 nucleotides) under uncultured bacterium. RNAcentral describes it as "partial 16S ribosomal RNA". It matches the Rfam family "Bacterial small subunit ribosomal RNA", at positions 523 to 796 of the family's 1533-position model. The record is from RNAcentral.